Molecule: long non-coding RNA, 528 nt
Filed under: Felis catus (domestic cat)
Lineage: Eukaryota; Metazoa; Chordata; Mammalia; Carnivora; Felidae
Description: lncRNA (ENSFCAG00000049058.1)
Source: RNAcentral
UUAUCAUGGCUUGAGGCACAUUUAGAAGUACUCACGCGCAAACUGAUCCCAGUGGCACAGGGUAGGGCCCAGCAUCAGUAGUUUAUAAAAGCACCCUGGAUGAUUCUAAUGUACAGUCAAGGUGGAGAUUCACUGCUACAGAGCCCGGCACACACACAAGGUGCUUAAUCAAUGUUGCUGAAGUGGAUUGAAUGGAAUUGGCUGCAUCCCAGGACCUGUGAAGUUGCCCCAGCCCUGGGUCUCAGGCAGAGAGGAGAGGGACCUAAAACUCGUAUUCUGAGUGAGCUGAUAAAUGAUGGAUUAUCCACACUCCCCUGGAAAAUCUGCCCGAGGAGCCAGAGCGCUUGGCUAGCACUGCCGCCUGGUGGAGAGAAACGGAACUGACUGCAGCACACCCCGAGAUGGGCUCUUCCUUGGUUUUACGCAACUACCACGGGCACAGGCAUUGGUGUAGACCCCUGCUGCACGAGAGGAGGGAGGAUUCACAGCAGCUGAACACAGAGAACAAAGUUAAAUGAAGCUUCACCG